CCUUUGGAGAGGGAUAGCCACUGGAAACGGUGAUUAAUACCUCGUAUGCUGAGGAGUGAAAGGUCGAAAGACCGCCAGGGGAUGGGCUUGCGUCUGAUUAGCUAGUUGGUGGGGUAAUGCCUACCAAGGCGAUGAUCAGUAGCUGGUCUGAGAGGACAAUCAGCCACACUGGGACUGAGACACGGCCCAGACUCCUACGGGAGGCAGCAGUGAGGAAUUUUCCGCAAUGGGCUAACGCCUGACGGAGCAAUGCCGCGUGGAGGAGGAAGGCCUGUGGGUCGUAAACUCCUUUUCUCAGAGAAGAAGAUCUGACGGUAUCUGAGGAAUAAGCAUCGGCUAACUCUGUGCCAGCAGCCGCGGUAAUACAGGGGAUGCAAGCGUUAUCCGGAAUUAUUGGGCGUAAAGCGUCCUGAGGUGGCUUACCCAGUCGACUGUGAAAGCUCAAGGCUCAACCUUGAAACGGCAGUCGAAACUUGUAAGCUUGAGUACGGUAGAGGCAGAGGGAAUUCCCGGAGGAGAGGUGAAAUUCGUAGAUAUCGGGAGGAAGGCCAAAGGCGAAAGCACUCUGCUGGGCCGAUUACUGACACUGACAGACGAAAGCUAGGGGAGCG
RNAcentral lists this ribosomal RNA (611 nucleotides) under uncultured eukaryote. RNAcentral describes it as "bacterial SSU rRNA". It matches the Rfam family "Bacterial small subunit ribosomal RNA", at positions 130 to 770 of the family's 1533-position model. The record is from RNAcentral.